GCCGUGGUGGUUCAGUGGCAAAAUUCUCACCUUCCAUGUGGAAAACCAGGGUUCAAUUCCCUGCCAAUGGCC
RNAcentral lists this transfer RNA (72 nucleotides) under Loxodonta africana (African savanna elephant). It matches the Rfam family "tRNA". Rfam says of the family: Transfer RNA (tRNA) molecules are approximately 80 nucleotides in length. Their secondary structure includes four short double-helical elements and three loops (D, anti-codon, and T loops). Lineage: Eukaryota; Metazoa; Chordata; Mammalia; Proboscidea; Elephantidae. The record is from Rfam by way of RNAcentral.